This 1053-nucleotide long non-coding RNA is filed under the name Crocodylus porosus (Australian saltwater crocodile). RNAcentral describes it as "lncRNA (ENSCPRG00005009579.1)". Lineage: Eukaryota; Metazoa; Chordata; Crocodylia; Crocodylidae. The record is from RNAcentral.
AUGCCCAGGACCCCGCCGCGAGGGUCCAGCUCCCGCACACGACACGCACGACUCCCCGAGGCGACGGGGCACAACACCAGGCAGAGGUGGGGAGAAGCCUACAUAUCCCACCGGCUCUGGCAGCCGCUGUACCCCCCAGUGCCCGGCCCGGCCCCACCAGCCCCGGAGCGGCCGCCGCGCCUGAUCCCCGUAAUGCGUUUCCCACCUGCCCGCGGGCGCCCCGCGCUCCCCGGCGCCAGCGCGUCCGUCUCCGUCCCCUCACAGCGGCAACUGAGCCCCCGCGCGCGCCAACACGCACCUCACUGCCGCCCUGCGCCGCAUCCCUCCGCCGGCCCCGGCCUUCCACUACGGCCCCCCUGCAGCCAACAAGCCACGGGAGCCGCCGCCACCGCAGGCGAAAGGGAGACGGCGGAGGCGCCCUGUCGCCCGCGGGCCACGGCGGGUCUGAGGGUGGCCUCCGCGCGAAGCCCCGCCGAGCCCCGGCAGGCGAGUCCCGCGGAAGGAUACACGACGCAGCGACAGCCGCGAACAACAGAAAUCGGAGGCGGGAACGGGUGGAAGUGACCUUUGAGGUGCUGCCGUGAGGAGCUAACUCUGGUUAAAUGGACGAAAGCAAUCCUCGGCCGCCUCCAUUCUUCUCUUCCCCCUUUGUUCUUUAAGCACCCGUUCUUUUGCGGUUUAUUAAUACGAAAACCAUUUUAGAGUCGCUGCCUUUUGUGAAGAUAAAGGAUUGCUUUUUUUUUUUUUUGUGGACUUCCCAAUUAUUUGCUGCUAAGUGUUUGAACUCGUCCUGGCACAAGGAGCCGAGCCAAGCUCCAGCUCGAGGUGUUUACUAUCGUAAAAUGAAAUGUGUCCAAACAUUCAUAAAAUGAAAUAUGUGCGGGGACUUCCAAAAAGCAGUCGUGCAAGACUCCCAUCACCCCACAAUAAUCUGCCCUAAAUAACCACCUGCCUUGCACAUCUGAUAAAAGCCAGGCCUGGUCAUAGCUUGACUCAACCCUCAUAAAUGUUUUUAUAACAUCUAACAUGAAUAAAUGGGCACUUCAUCCUUCA